AGUUAAUUAUGGUAUGGGAUAACGUUUUACAGAAAAUCUAUUUAUUCUUCUUUCUUUGUACAACUGGUCAUUUGUGGUUUUUCUUCUAAUACUUUGGUAAAGAUUGCUUUCGACGAGGUUAUGUUGUUCUUUCCUAUCUUUGCUUAAUUCUAUUUUUUAUGCGUUGAUUAAUAGAGUUUAUUUUAACUAUGGUUGUCAUUUUAAAUGAGGAACUUGUUUUCAGGAGAAAGGUCGAAUGGGGCUCGCAGCUCUUGCCGUCGCCGACGAGGGAAGAAGUUUGAGAAAUUCGUCUUUGGUCAUUGAACUAGAGUUGUAGAUUGUGAAGCACUUGGAGAGGCUGGUACAUCUAUGGAUAGGAAGAAGUUGGGGGACAUUUUGAUUUCACUGAAAGCACAUGAAAGUAAAGUAAAGGAGUUGAAGGGUGUAGUAGCUUCUAUUAGACAUGGUGUUUUCGAGCUACGUGCUACUGGUUUGAGAGAAUAUGAAGAUGGAAAAUCAUUUGAGGUGUUUUUUGAGAAGGCAUGUUGCUUAAUGGGUGAAAUUAGUAGUUGUGAGGAAAAUUUAUAUACUCCAGUUUGUUCUUUGAAUGUGGAAAGGGUGGAAGAGAUAUUAGACGAUGUUCCUGUAGUUGAAUAUAGGUUAAGUAAUGAAAUCAUGGAACAUAUAAGUGGUUUUUUUUUCAGGAUUGCAGGGGAGCUGAUCGACGUUCAUAUAUUAAUUUGGAGGAGAAUAUCUUGAAAAAUAGGACAAGUGAGGAGAAGAAUAGUGUUUUUGAAGUGGUUGGAAAUUUUGAUUUUAGUAAAGGUUGCAUGGCGUGCGGUGAAGCGGAUGAGAUGUCGAUACAAUUGGAUGGUUUGAUUGAAUUGGUUGGAGGUAGUAAUGAUAGACGGGUGGGUGGAAUUGGGAUGUUUAAAGAUAAGAUUUUAUGGAAUUUUAAGGUCGCGUGUUUUGGAGGGUCUGUUUUUUACAGUGAAAUGUAUGACAUUGGAGAUGCUGAAAUUAAGGCUAUUUUUCGGAAGGUAAUUAUUUUCGUUUUAGUUUUAUUCAAUGAAUAAUUUGAUUAUAAUUGUUCGAGGAAUUUGAAAUGUUUUCGCCCUAUAUUGUAGGAUAGUAAUAAAUCUGUGGUUUUUUUUGCGAUGGUACUUAAUUGUGGUUUAUUGGGAGGUUUGGAGAGUAGGAGCGAUGUAGAGAAAUUGCUAAUGAAUUAUGUGAUGGACCCUAAGAUGCCUUCAAAGUAAUUAGAAAUUUGUUAAAAAAAAAAGUAUAUUUUGUUUUUUGAAUUUAAUUAUGAUGUCCAACAAAUUAAUAUAACUAUUUUAAUUUCUCAGCGAGAUAGUUUUUGUGGGAGACAUAGUAGUUAUUCGGAGGCGAGAUUUCUUGACUUUGGUUGAGAAGACCCUUGUUAGCGCAAGAGUAAGGGUGUCAUUUAUAUCGUCCAUCAUACAAUGUAGUUGUUAGCAUGUGCGAUGACCAUUUUUUAGAUCAUAAGUUUUCUUUUUAUAUUUGCGAAGGUUGUCAAUUGUUUGGUGGAUAUUUUAGCUGCAGUGCAGGUUGAUAGGCAUGGGAAGAAAAUGAAAUUUUGGUGGAUCCCAACUGCAUUAUCUAUGAGUAUCUUCAGUAGUAUAUUAGAAUUUAUUGAAAUUAAAGAGUUUUAAUGUAUUGGUGAUUAGCAAAUUUGUAAUUCAUUUGACUGGCGGCCUGAUCCUGGAUCGUAUUGCACUAUGAGUCAUAGAAGUAGAUGGGUUGAGUGGUGUGGAGAACUUAUGCAUUUUGAGAAGGUGUAUGUUCCUUUGCUGGUUAAGAGACACUAGUUUUUAAUUAUCUUAAACAUGUUGGAGAAGAGAGCAAAUGUUUUUGAUAGUUUUAAAACUCCUUCAUAUCACCUCUUAGUUGGUAUAGUCUACACUAUGGUGGGUAGAGAUAAGUUAGCGUGCAAGUUUUAGAGAAUACUUUGUAUAGUUGUUGAAUAUGUAUUUUAUUUGUUUUUAGACCUGUUUUGUUUUUCAUGUUUUUGAGUAGUUGUUGUCCCUAGACCAUGCCAUCUGUGAAGAAUUGAAUAUGAUCUAUGGAGACAAAAAAAAUUUCAAGGGGUUUAACAACGUUGAACCUAUUUCCCAUCGAAAGGAAUGUGUUGAUUAUGACUGUAGUGUGUACUUGAUGAAGAUGCUCCUACAAGAAUAUGUUCAGGGAGUGUUGGUGGAAGGGGAAGAAGAUGUCAUAGAGGAAUACGUCCCUGGGAGACCGAUACGUUUAGGGCCGACUAACGUGAUACAGGAGUUUGAAAGGGAACUUAUUGGUGGAAGAAUAUUGACUUCGCGUUUGAACAAGGCACGAGAUAUUUUAAUGGAAAAAGUUGUUCAAUUUCAGCCACGUCAAUAACAUUGUUGCCCCUAUAUCUGCAUAGUCAUUUUAACUUAAUGUUGUAUUUGACUGCCUUUGUGGCUGAAAUUAGUUUAUUGGGUAUUAAUAUGUU
Humulus lupulus (European hop) is the source of this 2473-nucleotide RNA transcript. RefSeq lists it as uncharacterized. The transcript is spliced from 4 exons. NCBI's taxonomy places the organism in Eukaryota, Viridiplantae, Streptophyta, Magnoliopsida, Rosales, Cannabaceae. The record is from RefSeq and is a predicted model, not a curated record.